Molecule: long non-coding RNA, 1575 nt
Organism: Raphanus sativus (radish)
Lineage: Eukaryota; Viridiplantae; Streptophyta; Magnoliopsida; Brassicales; Brassicaceae
Exons: 3
Source: RefSeq, a predicted model, not a curated record
CUAAGACGUCAACGGAUAGGAAGACUUCGUAUAAAACGGUGAUGGUUAUCGUACAACACCAUUCACCUCAGCAAUGGAUCGAAGAUCUUCCGAGAGACUCGACAUCCUAGUAGGAGCAUCCUUUCAGAGAAAUCGUAGAAAAACAGCGGAAGCCCGGAAUGCGGCCCGAAAGGGACCAACUCCGAUCGGACGACCAGUUUACGAUUUUCUAAAGGAUAGAUGCGACGGUUUACAAUUAUCUUCGCAUGACAAGAUAAAUGAUAAACUUCCGAAAAGAUAAAUGUCAACUUUCCGAAAAGAUAAAUGUCAACUUUCCCGAUAAACACGAAAGCCGACGAAAAUGGAAAAAGUCCAGCCCACGGCAGACUCAGCCCACCAAGGAUAGACCGUCAUAUGGGAGUAUAUAAGCAAUGCUAGGAGCAGAGGAAGGGGGAUCCGAAAUCAGAAGAAAGAAACCACUCCAGAGCAAUUUAGAACUUAGGCGCUUAUUUCCUUUUUAGCGAGCUGCGACUCAACUAGGUUAGAUCUAGGUUUCGAGACUAGCGACGAUCGACAGCUCUUACAGCCGAGAUCUCGACCUGUUGUCCAAACGUUCUCCGCAGAUUCGGAAAUAAGAUUCUUUCUUUUUGCUCUAUUCAUUUUACGCAUUUAUUCUCGAAUUAGACUUGUUUUAAAUUUGUCGUGCGUGGCCCAGCAGAUAGCCGGGAUCCUCGGGGAAAACUAGGUCAACUUAGUUUUCCUACGUUUCAACUUAACUAAAAUCGACAGUGCGAAUUUCGGUUCCCACAGUUAGUAAGUUAAUUUAGUCAUUUUACUUUAAGGGUUCAUUUUAGGGUAUUGGACGACUUAAUAUUUAGUCUUCUGUUCCCAGACGACUAAAUAUUAGGUCGUCUGAUGUACAUUAUCAGCCAUAAUAAGUCGUCUAAACCGGACCAAACCUUAAAGUUUACCAAUGUACUUUUAAAGAUAACCGGAUUAUUUACCCAAUAUAUAAGGUGAUUUUUUUUUUCAUUUUCCGCGAACAGAAAACCCUAAUAGUUCUCUCUCACCGGCGAUAUCAAAGGCGAUUCGAAUUCCCACUAUUUCCGAACAACCAUCGUUCUCAACGUCGGCUAUCUAUCUCACUUCAUUCUCACUAUUGUCGCCGCAGCUUCUUCUAACCCUAGCGCCGCCGAUUCCUCUAAACCCUAGCGCCCCCGCUUCCACUAUUUCCAAACAAACCGUCGCCCUCGCCACCGUGCUCACCAACGUUCUCACCGCCGCUUCCUCUAAACACUAGCUAGCACUGCCGCUUCUUCUAAACCCUAGCGCUGCUGCUUCUUCUAAACCCUAGCGCCGCCGUUUCUUCUCUGUAAACCGUAGCGCCGUUUCUCUGUAAACCCUAACGCCGAUCUAUAACCACAAUGACGAGUACUCGAACUCCUUCUGCGACUAAUCAGACAAAAAGAUGGAUAUUCCAGAACUCCCCCGUAGGUUAUACACAUUAGGGGAAGAGCCAGAACCCCACAAUAGCAUUUCGUAUCAUACGGAUAACACGAAGUUGCAUACUGCUCUUAGGGAAGCUCUCACUGAUGC